AGCGUACACGGUGGAUGCCCUGGCAGUCAGAGGCGAUGAAGGACGUGCUAAUCUGCGAUAAGCGUCGGUGAGGUGAUAUGAACCGUUAUAACCGGCGAUUUCCGAAUGGGGAAACCCAGUGUGUUUCGACACACUAUCAUUAACUGAAUCCAUAGGUUAAUGAGGCGAACCGGGGGAACUGAAACAUCUAAGUACCCCGAGGAAAAGAAAUCAACCGAGAUUCCCCCAGUAGCGGCGAGCGAACGGGGAGGAGCCCAGAGCCUGAAUCAGUGUGUGUGUUAGUGGAAGCGUCUGGAAAGGCGCGCGAUACAGGGUGACAGCCCCGUACACAAAAAUGCACAUAUUGUGAGCUCGAUGAGUAGGGCGGGACACGUGGUAUCCUGUCUGAAUAUGGGGGGACCAUCCUCCAAGGCUAAAUACUCCUGACUGACCGAUAGUGAACCAGUACCGUGAGGGAAAGGCGAAAAGAACCCCGGCGAGGGGAGUGAAAAAGAACCUGAAACCGUGUACGUACAAGCAGUGGGAGCCUCUUAAUGGGGUGACUGCGUACCUUUUGUAUAAUGGGUCAGCGACUUAUAUUCUGUAGCAAGGUUAACCGAAUAGGGGAGCCGAAGGGAAACCGAGUCUUAACUGGGCGCUAAGUUGCAGGGUAUAGACCCGAAACCCGGUGAUCUAGCCAUGGGCAGGUUGAAGGUUGGGUAACACUAACUGGAGGACCGAACCGACUAAUGUUGAAAAAUUAGCGGAUGACUUGUGGCUGGGGGUGAAAGGCCAAUCAAACCGGGAGAUAGCUGGUUCUCCCCGAAAGCUAUUUAGGUAGCGCCUCGUGAAUUCAUCUCCGGGGGUAGAGCACUGUUUCGGCAAGGGGGUCAUCCCGACUUACCAACCCGAUGCAAACUGCGAAUACCGGAGAAUGUUAUCACGGGAGACACACGGCGGGUGCUAACGUCCGUCGUGAAGAGGGAAACAACCCAGACCGCCAGCUAAGGUCCCAAAGUCAUGGUUAAGUGGGAAACGAUGUGGGAAGGCCCAGACAGCCAGGAUGUUGGCUUAGAAGCAGCCAUCAUUUAAAGAAAGCGUAAUAGCUCACUGGUCGAGUCGGCCUGCGCGGAAGAUGUAACGGGGCUAAACCAUGCACCGAAGCUGCGGCAGCGACACUAUGUGUUGUUGGGUAGGGGAGCGUUCUGUAAGCCUGUGAAGGUGGCCUGUGAGGGUUGCUGGAGGUAUCAGAAGUGCGAAUGCUGACAUAAGUAACGAUAAAGCGGGUGAAAAGCCCGCUCGCCGGAAGACCAAGGGUUCCUGUCCAACGUUAAUCGGGGCAGGGUGAGUCGACCCCUAAGGCGAGGCCGAAAGGCGUAGUCGAUGGGAAACAGGUUAAUAUUCCUGUACUUGGUGUUACUGCGAAGGGGGGACGGAGAAGGCUAUGUUGGCCGGGCGACGGUUGUCCCGGUUUAAGCGUGUAGGCUGGUUUUCCAGGCAAAUCCGGAAAACCAAGGCUGAGGCGUGAUGACGAGGCACUACGGUGCUGAAGCGACAAAUGCCCUGCUUCCAGGAAAAGCCUCUAAGCAUCAGGUAACAUCAAAUCGUACCCCAAACCGACACAGGUGGUCAGGUAGAGAAUACCAAGGCGCUUGAGAGAACUCGGGUGAAGGAACUAGGCAAAAUGGUGCCGUAACUUCGGGAGAAGGCACGCUGAUAUGUAGGUGAAGCGACUUGCUCGUGGAGCUGAAAUCAGUCGAAGAUACCAGCUGGCUGCAACUGUUUAUUAAAAACACAGCACUGUGCAAACACGAAAGUGGACGUAUACGGUGUGACGCCUGCCCGGUGCCGGAAGGUUAAUUGAUGGGGUUAGCGGUAACGCGAAGCUCUUGAUCGAAGCCCCGGUAAACGGCGGCCGUAACUAUAACGGUCCUAAGGUAGCGAAAUUCCUUGUCGGGUAAGUUCCGACCUGCACGAAUGGCGUAAUGAUGGCCAGGCUGUCUCCACCCGAGACUCAGUGAAAUUGAACUCGCUGUGAAGAUGCAGUGUACCCGCGGCAAGACGGAAAGACCCCGUGAACCUUUACUAUAGCUUGACACUGAACAUUGAGCCUUGAUGUGUAGGAUAGGUGGGAGGCUUUGAAGUGUGGACGCCAGUCUGCAUGGAGCCGGCCUUGAAAUACCACCCUUUAAUGUUUGAUGUUCUAACGUUGGCCCGUAAUCCGGGUUGCGGACAGUGUCUGGUGGGUAGUUUGACUGGGGCGGUCUCCUCCUAAAGAGUAACGGAGGAGCACGAAGGUUGGCUAAUCCUGGUCGGACAUCAGGAGGUUAGUGCAAUGGCAUAAGCCAGCUUGACUGCGAGCGUGACGGCGCGAGCAGGUGCGAAAGCAGGUCAUAGUGAUCCGGUGGUUCUGAAUGGAAGGGCCAUCGCUCAACGGAUAAAAGGUACUCCGGGGAUAACAGGCUGAUACCGCCCAAGAGUUCAUAUCGACGGCGGUGUUUGGCACCUCGAUGUCGGCUCAUCACAUCCUGGGGCUGAAGUAGGUCCCAAGGGUAUGGCUGUUCGCCAUUUAAAGUGGUACGCGAGCUGGGUUUAGAACGUCGUGAGACAGUUCGGUCCCUAUCUGCCGUGGGCGCUGGAGAACUGAGGGGGGCUGCUCCUAGUACGAGAGGACCGGAGUGGACGCAUCACUGGUGUUCGGGUUGUCAUGCCAAUGGCACUGCCCGGUAGCUAAAUGCGGAAGAGAUAAGUGCUGAAAGCAUCUAAGCACGAAACUUGCCCCGAGAUGAGUUCU
Molecule: ribosomal RNA, 2773 nt
Filed under: Escherichia coli
Lineage: Bacteria; Pseudomonadati; Pseudomonadota; Gammaproteobacteria; Enterobacterales; Enterobacteriaceae
Description: bacterial LSU rRNA
Rfam family: Bacterial large subunit ribosomal RNA
Source: RNAcentral